AGAUUGAACGCUGGCGGCAUGCUUUACACAUGCAAGUCGAACGCGAAAGGGGGCAACCCUGAGUAGAGUGGCGAACGGGUGAGUAAUACAUCGGAACGUAUCCUGUUGUGGGGGAUAACCCCGAGAAAUCGGGGGCUAAUACCGCGUACGUCCUACGGGAGAAAGCGGGGGCUCGCAAGGACCUUGCGCUAUAGGAGCGGCCGAUGUCGGAUUAGCUAGUUGGCGGGUAAAGCCCACAAGGCUACGAUCCGUAGCUGGUCUGAGAGGAUGAUCAGCCACACUGGGACUGAGACACGGCCCAGACUCCUACGGGAGCAGCAGUGGGGAAUUUGGACAAUGGGCGAAAGCCUGAUCCAGCCAUGCGCGUGAGUGAAGAAGGCCUUCGGUGUAAGUCUCGUUUCGGCCGGACGAAAGUGCCGUUACGUAAUA
This 429-nucleotide ribosomal RNA is filed under the name uncultured soil bacterium. RNAcentral's name for it is "bacterial SSU rRNA". It matches the Rfam family "Bacterial small subunit ribosomal RNA", at positions 26 to 463 of the family's 1533-position model. The record is from RNAcentral.